Molecule: transfer RNA, 71 nt
Filed under: Dipodomys ordii (Ord's kangaroo rat)
Lineage: Eukaryota; Metazoa; Chordata; Mammalia; Rodentia; Heteromyidae
Rfam family: tRNA
About the family: Transfer RNA (tRNA) molecules are approximately 80 nucleotides in length.
Source: Rfam by way of RNAcentral
GGGAAGGUGGCUCAGCGGUAGAGUGCUUGCCUUGCAUGCAUGAAGCCCUGGGUUUGAGUCCCUCAGUACCA